CCUACGGGUGGCAGCAGUGGGGGAUAUUGCACAAUGGAGGGAACUCUGAUGCAGCGACGCCGCGUGAGGGAAGAAGGUUUUCGGAUUGUAAACCUCUGUCUUCGGUGACGAAACGAGACGGUAGCCGAGGAGGAAGCCACGUCUAACUACGUCCCAGCAGCCGCGGUAAUACGUAGGUGGCAAGCGUUGUCCGGAAUUACUGGGUGUAAGGGGAGCGUAGGCGGGAAAGCAAGUUGAAGGUGUAAGGUAGGGGCUAAACCUGUAAAAGCGUUCAAAACUGUUUGUCUUGAGUGGAGUAGGGGUAAGCGGAAUUCCUAGUGUAGCGGUGAAAUGCGUAAAGAUUAGGAGGAACACCAGUGGCGAAGGCGGCUUACUGGGCUGUAACUGACGCUGAGGCUCGAAAGCGUGGGUAGCAAACAGGAUUAGAUACCCGGGUAGUC
This 440-nucleotide ribosomal RNA is filed under the name uncultured bacterium. RNAcentral's name for it is "partial 16S ribosomal RNA". It matches the Rfam family "Bacterial small subunit ribosomal RNA", at positions 338 to 795 of the family's 1533-position model. The record is from RNAcentral.